GGCCUUAAAAAGUAUUUGACAUACUUGGUACUUGGCCGCGUGACUCUGUUCACCAAACAACUCUUGUAGGUGAGCCAACAUUUGGCGGGUAGUCAAAAUAUCUCAUGUUGGCGCUGCAAAUUAUCAGACAUUGCACCCAACAUAUAGUACCUUGCUUUAUUAUCAUCAUCUGUCCACUUUUCUAGAGACGCUCUCUGUUCAGCAG
This 205-nucleotide long non-coding RNA is filed under the name Elaeis guineensis (African oil palm). Its description in RNAcentral is "long non-coding RNA (EGUI_LNC076854)". The record is from RNAcentral. Lineage: Eukaryota; Viridiplantae; Streptophyta; Magnoliopsida; Arecales; Arecaceae.